GGCUAAGUCGUAACAAGGUAGCCGUACCGGAAGGUGUGGCUGGAACACCUCCUUU
RNAcentral lists this ribosomal RNA (55 nucleotides) under Flectobacillus roseus. Its description in RNAcentral is "partial 16S ribosomal RNA". It matches the Rfam family "Bacterial small subunit ribosomal RNA", at positions 1479 to 1533 of the family's 1533-position model. The record is from RNAcentral. Lineage: Bacteria; Pseudomonadati; Bacteroidota; Cytophagia; Cytophagales; Flectobacillaceae.